Molecule: long non-coding RNA, 1881 nt
Organism: Puntigrus tetrazona (Sumatra barb)
Lineage: Eukaryota; Metazoa; Chordata; Actinopteri; Cypriniformes; Cyprinidae
Exons: 6
Source: RefSeq, a predicted model, not a curated record
CGGGUGGCCAGUUGACAUAGGCUGCUUUUGAAAGUCCAACGUUUAGUUGAUCCUGAUAAGUGCCGGUCAUCAUAGUUGUAAACAUUUUUAAACAUAAUGCGGUUGGCAUCAUGACAACUUUGUGUUUCUAGGCAAACGCAAAUAGCUGUGUGCAAGGAGUAUUGUCUCAAAGAAGAUUUGAACAAUUUCUGGGAGAAAAAGUACUUACCUUGGUUAAACAUCAUCUUCACUUAAAUAAGUGGACAUCACAGAAAAAGGAAAAGUCACACUUUUGCACCAAAAUCAGGACUGGCUUCAAUUAGCGGUAAUCAGGUUACACCAUGCAGGAUUGUCAGCAGAGGACAUGUGACCAGAAGAAGUAGAAUCCCAGGCUGGCUCAAUGCGACUGAGUUCCUCAUAUUGUCCACAACUUCCACAAGUAAAAUAAAAGAAAGCUUGACCGUCUCCUACAGAAGACAACAAAGAGCUCUCCACUUCGCAUAUGUGAAUCGAAACAUGUAGUGAGCGUUCUCUUUAAACUCAGCCAUCUUCUUGAGUGGUCUGGAUGUGUCUGUGGGUAAAGAAAGGAAGCACGGUUAAUCCAGGACGCAAGCUGCAGUAAAGACACCCACCUGAGAGCACCAUAUCAGAAGAAACAAAGUCAUUGGAGCGACAUAAGGGAAGAAAAAAAAAAACAAUAAACAAAUUUAAGAGGAAGGCAGGAGCCAAGGCCGAGUGAGACAUGCCAGAACCCCACUGCACUGAACUCCCUGAGCCAGACUGCUCUCUUAGGGACCGCGUCUUAAACAGGAGUCCCGUCAGCAGCUAUAACGCCACUUAGGGAGCGGAUCCCUGGAAUGAACUGUCCCUAGGCGCGGCACUGGUGGUUGUGGAAAUAGAGUAUGGAUCUUUUGAUCAUGGCUGAUCCUCUCAGGCCGUGGCAAGGCUGGAGAGGGGCCUCGUCGUCUGCACCAUUAGGACUGUGAAAUUCCUGACAUUCAAAAGCAGCCACAGGUUAGGGGCCGUAUGGCGGGAGUUGUUGCACACUAUUCAGUGCUGCUUCUCACCUCUCUCGGGCCUCUGUGUUGUGAUGCAGUUAAAAACCAUAGUGUCUGUUUGAUUUAGAGGAUAUAAAAUGUGGGAACAACAAGCUUUUCGUGUCAGGGCAUCUUCACAUAGUGAUUUUUCAUUGCAGACACUGCCAGAACUCAAGGGGAUCGUGAGCAGGCUCUUGAUAUCUCUGUCUCUGUCUCUUGUUCUAACCCUUGCUGCUCCUUCUGCUUAAGAUAAAGCACAGACUGUCAUUUUAAGAAGGAUUUUCUACUCAAAACCACCUAAGGGGUUGGAUUAUGUGGAUUCAGACAAUUGAACCAACAUUAUUAGUUAUAGUUUCCUCAACAUUGCUGUGCAGAAAUGGGCUCAUUUGAAGAUAGAGCUCAGUUUCUGAGGUAAUCCAUCUCAAAGUCGCCUAAUGCCUGCAAACCAAACUAUGCUGAGAAAGUAAUCAAAUUGGAAGAACAUUUAAUCUGGAUCAUAAUGCUUGCACAAUGUUGUAUAAAAGAAUCAUGAUACUGGGGUAAACACCAUGUUAAUAUUGAGUAGCUUAAAUUUUAGACACAAUAUUGGAUGUUAGUAUGUAUAUUUUUGCAAAAAAUCGUUUUGCAUAUUCUUUUGUGAAAUAUGUUGUGUAUCUUACUAUACACAGUAGUCUUUUUGUGAAUGAUGCAGUUUUUUAAUGAAUCAUUGGAGAAAAGAUUCUCUGUACUAUUUUUAAAUACACUAGCGGAUUUGCAUACUAAGUAGGUAGUACAUUUGAAUUAGAACAUAUACUUUGUAACCGUUAAAAAAGUACAGUCUAUGUAGAUUAAAUGUGUAGUAUGAAUGAAAUGCAGAUAUACUAGA